CUGAUGCAAUGAUAAAUUGAUA
Molecule: non-coding RNA, 22 nt
Filed under: Arabidopsis thaliana (thale cress)
Lineage: Eukaryota; Viridiplantae; Streptophyta; Magnoliopsida; Brassicales; Brassicaceae
Source: RNAcentral